AUGAAGCACAACUCCCCGCAGGGCCCCCAGCCCACAGGGGUGGCCAUAUUUGGGCAGUUCCCAGUCCUGUGGGCUCGGCUAACUGGGGAGCAGAUUUUGGGUCUGGAUCUCCCUGGGGAGUGGGUCCUGGGCUUGGAUCUUUCCCUAGGGGGCCAUCUUACCCCUUCCUCUCUCCUCCUCCUCCCCCAUUGCUGUAAAUAUUUCAACGAAAUGAAAAAGACAAAAAAAAAAAAAAGACAAAAAAAAAAAAAAAAAAAAGGAAAGAAAAUCUCAUCACUUGAAGCCACCGGGAGCCUGUGGCCCAGCCAGCCCGGGGCUUUCUCCGGAGCAGAGUGGCGCCGCCGGGCCCUGGCAGCCAGGACUUCUCCGUGUAUGUGUGCAUCCCCAGCCGGGGUGGGCGGGCCGCCAGAGCAGCUUUUUACAAUCCAGAGACAGAAAACAAAAUCUAGAAGUAACAGCGAAACAAAGAACCUGUUUCCUUCCCGGCACUGUUUCUGUCGCCUCUUUCCCUGCUCCGCCUGUCCCUGGCCUCAGUCAGCCCUCCUGGGGCGUGUACCUCACUGCCUGCCCCAGGACCGGGGCCUGUCUCCCCCUCCCCUCCCCACUGGCCCGGGGGAGACACCCUCACACCCAAAGAUGCUUUUGCCAAGAUGGCUGCGCUGUCCCUUUGAGUUCCUGCUUCUUGUAUAUUGCUUCUGGGACUCUGGGCCGAGGAAGAAGGGACUGAUUUCCCACCUAGAGAGGUUGAUGGGGGAAGGAAAGUGGAGGCAGCAAGUGGUGGGUGUGACCGGGAGGCUAGGAGUGGUGAAGUUGUUUUCUGUCUUGAGGGGGGUGAGGAGGGUAUGCAAAGGUGAGAGAUCACCUUCCCUCCCCUACACCCUCCUGCAGGGGACACAGAGCCAAGUACCAGGGCCUGCAGUCAGGACACCUUUGUAUUGGGGGCUCUACCCCCAACCUAUAGACUCUGGAAGCUUCAGGCUGGGGAUGUCUCCUGAGUACCUCUUCCAGCACCCUCCUCCCCAGCCUCUCACCCUGGCCUCCCCUGCCCCAACUCUUUGA
RNAcentral lists this long non-coding RNA (1059 nucleotides) under Lynx canadensis (Canada lynx). Its description in RNAcentral is "lncRNA (ENSLCNG00005011416.1)". The record is from RNAcentral. Lineage: Eukaryota; Metazoa; Chordata; Mammalia; Carnivora; Felidae.